This 424-nucleotide ribosomal RNA is filed under the name uncultured prokaryote. RNAcentral describes it as "bacterial SSU rRNA". It matches the Rfam family "Bacterial small subunit ribosomal RNA", at positions 355 to 796 of the family's 1533-position model. The record is from RNAcentral.
UGGGGAAUCUUGCACAAUGGGCGAAAGCCCGAUGCAGCCAUGCCGCGUGAGUGACGAAGGCCCUAGGGUCGUAAAGCUCUUUCGCCAGGGAAGAUAAUGACGGUACCUGGUAAAGAAGUCCCGGCUAACUCCGUGCCAGCAGCCGCGGUAAUACGGAGGGGAGUAGCGUUGUUCGGAAUUACUGGGCGUAAAGCGCGCGUAGGCGGACUAUUAAGUCAGGGGUGAAAUCCCGGGGCUCAACCCCGGAACUGCCUUUGAUACUGGUAGUCUUGAGUUCGAGAGAGGUGAGUGGAAUUCCGAGUGUAGAGGUGAAAUUCGUAGAUAUUCGGAGGAACACCAGUGGCGAAGGCGGCUCACUGGCUCGAUACUGACGCUGAGGUGCGAAAGUGUGGGGAGCAAACAGGAUUAGAUACCCCUGUAGUCC